Molecule: long non-coding RNA, 653 nt
Filed under: Olea europaea (common olive)
Lineage: Eukaryota; Viridiplantae; Streptophyta; Magnoliopsida; Lamiales; Oleaceae
Description: long non-coding RNA (OEUR_LNC006284)
Source: RNAcentral
GAUUCAGUACAACUUGAUGCAAAGCUGGCGUGAAAAAUAAAUAACACUUUAAGAUUCCUACGAGGUGGACGGAUGUCCCUUGGGUAUAUAUAGGUGGGGGGAAAUUUCAUCCGUAAAAGGCUCUGUAUGCGUAGCAUGAUUCAACAUUUAACCUAAAUUUGUUAUUUCAAUAAACUAAAGGAGAUUAGAUAUCAAGAAAAUUCAAUAUUUUGUAUUAAUUUAUCAGAAAUAACUCUAGAAAACUACGGUCUUACAAGAAUUAAAUAGGUCUAACACACAUAAAAUCAUAAGAUGUAAAAGUAAGAGAAAUUUGUGUUAUAGAUCUCAAAUCUUUAAAAAAGGUGUAGGUGGGUCUUGAAUCUUUUAAUCUUAACAGUUACACUUCAAUACCUUUUGAUAAGAGUGUAUGGGUAGGACCCCUCUAAAGAUUUACAUCUAAAAAAGUUGAACAUCUAAGUAUCUAACUUCAAUUUGACAAAUUUAAUGUAGGGUAAAAUGGGUUUUUUUUAAUAUUUAUGUUAUAUAUUGUAGAUUUUUUGAAAAGUGAUUUUUGGGAGAAUGUAUGAAUAAAAGUAGAAAAAAAUAUGGGCUCGUGCAUAAAAUUAUUUUAAUUUAAGAAUUUAUUUGAAAAAAAUUAGGAAAAAAUGAGUUCU